RNAcentral lists this ribosomal RNA (442 nucleotides) under uncultured bacterium. RNAcentral's name for it is "partial 16S ribosomal RNA". It matches the Rfam family "Bacterial small subunit ribosomal RNA", at positions 338 to 795 of the family's 1533-position model. The record is from RNAcentral.
CCUACGGGAGGCAGCAGUGAGGAAUAUUGGGCAAUGGGCGCAAGCCUGACCCAGCAAUGCCGCGUGAAGGAAGAAGGCUUUCGGGUUGUAAACUUCUGUGACAGGGGAAGAGCAGAAGACGGAACCCGGAAAACAAGCCACGGCUAACGACGGGACAGCAGCCGCGGUAAUACGGAGGUGGCAAGCGUUGUCCGGAUUUACUGGGUGUAAAGGGCGGGUAGCCGGGAAGGCAAGUCAGAUGUGCAAUCUGGAGGCUCACCCUCCAAAUUGCAUUUGAAACUGUUUUUCUUGAGUACUGGAGAGGCAGCCGGCCUUCCUUUUGUAGCGGUGCAAUGCGUCUAUCUAAGGAGGAACCCCAGUGGCGAAGGCGGUCUGCUGGACCGCACCUGACGGUGAGGCGCGAAAGCGUGGGGAGCACACAGGAUUAGCUACCCUGGUAGUC